RNAcentral lists this ribosomal RNA (252 nucleotides) under uncultured bacterium. RNAcentral's name for it is "partial 16S ribosomal RNA". It matches the Rfam family "Bacterial small subunit ribosomal RNA", at positions 524 to 776 of the family's 1533-position model. The record is from RNAcentral.
UACAGAGGUCCCGAGCGUUGUUCGGAUUCACUGGGCGUAAAGGGUGCGUAGGUGGUGAGGUAAGUCGGAUGUGAAAUCUCCAAGCUCAACUUGGAAAUGGCAUUGGAAACUACCUUGCUGGAGGUUUGGAGGGGGUCUGGAAUUCUCGGUGUAGCAGUGAAAUGCGUAGAUAUCGAGAGGAACACCAGUGGCGAAAGCAGCUUUCUGGGACGGUACUGACGCUGAGACGCGAAAGCGUGGGGAGCGAACAGG